AUUGAACGCUGGCGGCAUGCCUAACACAUGCAAGUCGAACGGUAACGGGCCUUUGGGUGCUGACGAGUGGGGAACGGGGGAGUAAUACACCUGGACGUGCCCGAUCGAGUGGGAUAACAAGGCGGAAGCUUUGCUAAUAUCGCACACGAGCUACGGAUGAAAGCGUGGGACCGCUAGGGCUUGCGCGGUCUCAGCUGCGGAUGGCAGACUCGGUAGUUGGUGUGGUAAAAGCGUACCAAGCCGACGAGCUCUAGCUGGUCUGAGAGGAUGAACAGACACACUGUGACUGAGACACGGCCCAGACUCCUACGGGAGGCAGCAGUGGGGAAUUUUGGACAAUGGGCGAAAGCCUGAUCCAGCCAUGCCGCGUGCAUGAUGAAGGUCUUCGGGUUGUAAAGUGCUUUUGUUCGGAAGGAAAAGCCUUAUUUUAAUACAGGGUUGUCUUGACGGUACCGUAAGAAUAAGCACCGGCUAACUACGUG
Molecule: ribosomal RNA, 482 nt
Filed under: uncultured bacterium
Lineage: Bacteria
Description: partial 16S ribosomal RNA
Rfam family: Bacterial small subunit ribosomal RNA
Source: RNAcentral